GAAACAAAACGCAACCAUUUUUUUUUCUAUGUUUAUGGGUGCGUGCAUUUGUGUUGUCCGGUGUUUGAAGACGCUUUGGAAUUCGCUUUCAAUUUCUUCGUAGGAAAAAUGUCGGGUGAUACCGAUAAAGCGAAAAUCAGUGAUAAUCAGGAUGAAGACAAGAAGUCCAUAGCAGGAGACGGUCACACCACAGAAGACGAGUCCUCACAGGACUCGAAGGGUGAGUCCCUGGCUCCCGAGUCAAAGGCCCAAGAGCCUGAGGCUCCAGAGUCGGAGGCCCAAGGUAAACCCGAUGUAGGUCAACCUAAAACGGACGAGGCACCACCAGAUUCGGAAGGCGACGCAAAAGCCACGGCUAACGGCAAGAGCGACGACGCGGCCGCAGAUAACAAAGAUGAAAAGGACGAUAAAGCUGACGGCGAUGUGAAAAAGGAGGAAAAUGGCGAGACGCACGACGAUGAUGACAAAGAAGAUGAUGACGUAAAGGAGAACGACAAGGCUGCCAAGAAACCAGCUCCUAAGAAAAAGCCCAAAAAAGAAGACACAGAGGAGGAGGAAGAAGAUGAAGAAGAGGAGGAGGAGGAUGAGGAAGGAGAGGAAGGCGAUGAGGACGAGGAAGCGGAAAAUAAAAAGCCUAAAGAGAAAGUAAAGAAGCCAGCGAAGAAGGCUAAAGAUGACGAUGAAGAAGGUGACGAGGAGGAAGGAGAUGAAGAAGGUGAGGAAGAGGAGGAAGAAGAAGAGGAGGAAGAGGAGGCGCCCAAACCUAAACCCAAGAAAGAGCCCACGGAGCCUCCGGUGCCGCUGCCGGCGGGCAAGGGUAUCCCUCUUGGACACAUCGGCAACGUAGAGAUUUCACUAUCACGGUUCAAGAUUGCAGACCAGAAGCUGUUACAUCAGUAUUUGUAUGGCCAACUAUGCCUGGACCGCAACGUGAAACGGAACGUGAAGAAGUUCAAGGGGUACGAGUGGGCGAUCGGCUCCUCGGACUACAAGGCCAAGCUGGAGGAGACCAGCAAGAUGGAGAUGAAGCAGCUGCGGACCAUGUGCGAGAUGCUCGACCUCGACAAGAAGGGCAGCGCGGCGGAGCUGUCGGCGCGGCUGGUGGGGUUCCUGCAGCAGCCGACGGCCAACUCUCCGCAUGCGCGGGGCUCCGCUCAGCGCGCGCCCGCCGCGCCCGCGCCCGCCGGCGGCCGUCCGCGGCGCUCCGCCGCCGUCAAGGUGCACAACAGAGGUUAUUCAGACGAGGAGUAUGAAAGUGAGCCGGAACCAAAAGUCAAGGGCCCCAAAUUGCCGAAGGAUGGUUCAGAAGACUCUGAUGGGUCAUUCAACCCGAGCGGGUCGGAGGAGGCGGACUCUGACUUCGACCCGGAGGGCGGCGAGAGCGCGGGCGCCGCCACGCGCAAGCGCAAGGUCGGCCGCCGCCGCUCGGCGCCCAAGGUCGGCCGCAGGGGCCGCAAGCCCAAGGGCAGGAAGGGGAAGAGUGCAAGCAAAGGUCGCGGUAAACGGGCCAAGUCUGAGAGCGAGGAGAGCGACAAAUCCGAGAGCGAGAGCGAACAGGAGUCCGGUAGCGAGGGAGAGGAGUCCGAUGAGCCAAAGUCGAAGCGCGGUCGGCCGGCGGCGGUGGCCAAGGGUCGCAAGGCGACGCCGGCCAAAACAGCCGCCAACGCUAAGGCCACGCCCGCAAAGCGGAAAGCGCCCACUCCACCCGCCAAAAAGAAGCUAGCCGGCAAGCCCGCAGGCCGGCCCGCCAAGAAGGGAGGCAAGAAAGCCUCCUCCUCCGAGGAGUCGGGGGAGGGCAGCGAGGAGGAGGACGAGGAGGGCAGCGAGGAGGAGAGCGGGGAGGAGUCCGACUCUCCCUCUGACAAGAAAGCUAAGCGGCCGCCUACGGACGAUGAAAUCAAAAAGUACGUGAAGGAGAUACUGGAAGGCGCCAACCUGGAGCAGAUCACGAUGAAGACGGUGUGCAAGCAGGUCUACAGCCACUACCCGGACUUCGACCUCGCGCACAAGAAGGACUUCAUCAAGGCAACAGUCAAGUCGUGUAUUUAAGUUAGGAGUUAAGGGCGGAGUGUAGAUGUCUGCAUAGUAUACCUAUAGUUUAUAAAAGGACAUAGUUAUAUAUUAUUACAAUAAUAAUAUAUUAUGAGAAAGUUAAUAAACUGAUUGACGUGGAAUGGAUAUACACCUGCUUUUUUCUUACAAGCUCAUAUCAUCGUGAGCAGUGACCAGUCGGCCGCAAAACAUUCAUAGUCAAGUAAGCCACGCAUCUUAAACUCUAGACUAAUGUACCGGCCUGCGGCGAUCGGCUUCCCCAUACAUCCAUACACUUUAUCAUUUCCACUACACAAUAUGAUAACAUUUUGACAGACUAAUUGACUUGUCUAUUAAGUAUUAAGCUGUGUAUGCACUAAGAGACGUUAACGCGCAAAAUGUUUUAAUAUUUCACUCAUAUCCAUUGGUUGAAAAUUAACAGCACGUCAUGCUUUUCAUUCAUAUAAAUUGUUAUUAAGCGAGAUGUUGCGCGGCAAUGAUCGACUAGUGCAUACUAGGCUUUCAGUUGUCACAAAUAUAACACGCAGUCAUCGUAGUAUUGACAACAAGAAUGUUGUAAAGUCGAUCCGUCGCGGCGCGGGUUGUAAUUUUUAUGUUGUAGGAAUAAUUUCCCUAGUAUAAGUGUAAUCCGAGUUGCAGUAGGGCUUAAGGACAUUUUUUUUUUCACGUGCCUAUAAGAGGGUCUUUAGUGAUAAUCGCAAAUUAAUUUGCUUCGUUGGCCACACGUUCUGCGCGUUGAGUGUCCCAAAAUUGCGUAAUGUUAUUUUUUUAUUAUUCAUUUUAAUAUUUUCUUAUCUAGAGCAGCCGGGACCAGAUUUAUUUAACACUCAAUACGCGGCGCCACAGUCAAUAAGUACACUAAUGUUUUGUUUUUACGCUUCUAAUGGGGGUUUCCUGAACGUCAGUUGUCAAAUACAAUUAAUAAUGUUGUAUUUGUGAUCUAAGGAAAGAAUACAGAAAACCCUCAUUUGUACAAAUUAGAAGUUGGGUAGAUAUCUCGGUAAACUUUUCAAAUAUUGUUAUUCGAGGAAUUUGGAUAGUAAGCUUAUUUUAUCAAUUUAGAAAGUGUUCUUUAACGCCUGGCACUAUCGCAAAAUAAUGCUAUUCGAUUAAGGAUGAUAAGUGUUAAGAUGUGUAAAUAUACCCAGGACUUGCUUAUGGCUAUGUUCGUAUUUUUGUGGGCAGGUUAUUGGGCCUGGCUUGACGAUAUUGUAUCAUAUUUCGAUGCAUCUGAAGUAUAAUAUUGUGAGUGACAAAAAAUAUGUUAAGAUUUCUGCAGGAAUGAUUAAUUCAUGUAAAUAUCUCAAUAUAGAUUUUAUUUGUCACUUACGACAUGAUAUGAUGGAUUUGUUGACGAAUUUCUGAAAUGAUUCAUUAGGUUCGAUAAUACACUUUUUUAUGACAGUAAAAUUGAAGUGUUUUGAUUUCAUCGAUAGUGACGUUAAAUCCUGCAUUUAAUAAAAAAGUAUUAUUUAUUUUUAUUAUUUGUAUGUUCAUAUUACCAGUUUGGUAUGAAAUAUUUUGAAAAAUCUAUGGUACGGUAUCGCCAAACACGAUAGAGCGCCAUUAGUCGAAUCGAAAUCCGGAAGGUAUAUUUAUCUUCCAUAUAUUUUUAUAUUUUGGAAUAAAAUAUUAUUUUUUUGGGCAAGUGGAUACGGCAAUGUUUCUAUAUCAAAAUUGAUUUAUUAUCGACUAAAUUGUCCAUAUAUUCUUAUUUCUCUAUAAUAAAUUUGGUUUAAGCAUUUUCUGUCAUAAAGUUUAUUUAGAAUUAUGAGAUUUAUGUUAUCUUACCCAUAAUAUGGUUGUUUUUAGACUUAUAAGUAUUUAAUUCUUGAAAAAUAAUUAAAUUCAAGUUAAUGUAAUUAAUAAACGUUUGCCGUUUUCACUGCUGACUAAAUUGUAAAAAAAUAUUAAUUUGUAAUAUUCCUAGACCCACUGUUUACAAAAUCAGGAUUAUCACAGGUAAAUACUUACUGAUAGUGCAAUAAGAUAUUUUUACAAUAGGAAACUUGUAAUCAAACAAUAAUCUCUAACCAUAUCAAUAUUUUGUGGUCGUCUGACGUAGUUUCGUGUACACGUUUUUAUUGCAAAUACAGUAGUUGUUGUCUACAUCUGUUUAAUUUACUUUAAGGUGCUUCACAGCAUUUGUUUUGUAUCUUGUGGCCGAAAUAGUCGCUAAGUCUAUGGUUGAGCUAACACUAUAGGUUACUGGGUUUGUGUGCGGCGAGACAUUGCAACGCGCGCGACAUUAGAGAUGCCCUCUGUCUAUAUUCGAUUAUCUCUAAUCGACUGACGCGUUGUCGACAUCCCUAUUCAUCGAUAUUGAAUGGGCCUGUCCAAACGUUCCUUUUAAUUACGUCGACGAUAAAAUCUCUCGGCGCAACCAAACCCCUAAUUUUAAGCUAGGAUUAAUCAACAUUAAAUGUGUAUUUGUGAAUUUUAACCUAUUUCGGUUGACGUUUUUCUUUAUAAAUGUGUAAAUGGUUGAGAUCAGUAGCAGAGUAGUGACACGGAGUGAUAGAGUGACUGGUAACCCCCCUUUUACAAUUGGAUAUAGAUAAUAAAUAAAUAAAAGUUUGA
Plodia interpunctella (Indianmeal moth) is the source of this 4632-nucleotide RNA transcript. It is a transcript of the gene named Dek, with no coding region annotated. NCBI's taxonomy places the organism in Eukaryota, Metazoa, Arthropoda, Insecta, Lepidoptera, Pyralidae. The transcript has 17 exons. The record is from RefSeq and is a predicted model, not a curated record.